CUUGGUCAUUAGAGGAAGUAAAAGUCGUAACAAGGUUUCCGUAGGUGAACCUGCGGAAGGAUCAUUAUCGUACACCGGAGGCACAAGGGCUGUCGCUGACCUUUGAAGGGUUGUGCACGCCCGAGUGUUCUCUCACAUCCAUUUCACCCCUUUGUGCAUCACCGCGCGGGUCCCUCUAAAAAGGGGGGCUCACGUUUUUCACAUAAACCUCAAUAUAGUGUAGAAUGUCUUUUCUUAUUGCGGUAACACGCAAUCAAUACAACUUUCAACAACGGAUCUCUUGGCUCUCGCAUCGAUGAAGAACGCAGCGAAAUGCGAUACGUAAUGUGAAUUGCAGAAUUCAGUGAAUCAUCGAAUCUUUGAACGCACCUUGCGCCCCUUGGCAUUCCGAGGGGCACACCCGUUUGAGUGUCGUGAAAUCCUCAAAACACUUUCUUUGAUGAGAAAGGGUUUUGGACUUGGAGGAUCAAUGCUUGCUUUCAAAGUGAGCUCCUCUUAAAUGAAUCAGUGGGGUUUGCUUGUCGAUCCUUGACGUGAUAAGAUGCUUUACUACGUUUUGAAUCUGGCGACGUCCCUGCUUCUAACUGUCUCAUGGACAAAUGAUGGUGCUCCGGUUGCUACCAGUUUAGUGGUCGCUGGACCCACGAAUUUAAAAUCUUGACCUCAAAUCGGGUGAGACUACCCGCUGAACUUAAGCAUAUCA
Molecule: ribosomal RNA, 703 nt
Filed under: Russula sp.
Lineage: Eukaryota; Fungi; Basidiomycota; Agaricomycetes; Russulales; Russulaceae
Description: eukaryotic LSU rRNA
Rfam family: 5.8S ribosomal RNA (bases 261-414)
Source: RNAcentral